RNAcentral lists this ribosomal RNA (395 nucleotides) under uncultured bacterium. RNAcentral's name for it is "bacterial SSU rRNA". It matches the Rfam family "Bacterial small subunit ribosomal RNA", at positions 521 to 916 of the family's 1533-position model. The record is from RNAcentral.
UAAUACGAAGGGGGCUAGCGUUGCUCGGAAUUACUGGGCGUAAAGGGCGCGUAGGCGGACAGUUUAGUCAGAGGUGAAAGCCCAGGGCUCAACCUUGGAAUUGCCUUUGAUACUGGCUGUCUUGAGUACGGGAGAGGUGAGUGGAACUCCGAGUGUAGAGGUGAAAUUCGUAGAUAUUCGGAAGAACACCAGUGGCGAAGGCGACUCACUGGCUCGUUACUGACGCUGAGGCGCGAAAGCGUGGGGAGCAAACAGGAUUAGAUACCCUGGUAGUCCACGCCGUAAACGAUGAGUGCUAGUUGUCGGCAUGCAUGCAUGUCGGUGACGCAGCUAACGCAUUAAGCACUCCGCCUGGGGAGUACGGUCGCAAGAUUAAAACUUAAAUGAAUUGACGG